This 1528-nucleotide ribosomal RNA is filed under the name Escherichia coli 2-052-05_S3_C2. RNAcentral describes it as "bacterial SSU rRNA". It matches the Rfam family "Bacterial small subunit ribosomal RNA". Lineage: Bacteria; Pseudomonadati; Pseudomonadota; Gammaproteobacteria; Enterobacterales; Enterobacteriaceae. The record is from RNAcentral. RNAcentral also lists the same sequence under 1 other name.
GAGUUUGAUCAUGGCUCAGAUUGAACGCUGGCGGCAGGCCUAACACAUGCAAGUCGAACGGUAACAGGAAACAGCUUGCUGUUUCGCUGACGAGUGGCGGACGGGUGAGUAAUGUCUGGGAAACUGCCUGAUGGAGGGGGAUAACUACUGGAAACGGUAGCUAAUACCGCAUAACGUCGCAAGACCAAAGAGGGGGACCUUCGGGCCUCUUGCCAUCGGAUGUGCCCAGAUGGGAUUAGCUUGUUGGUGGGGUAACGGCUCACCAAGGCGACGAUCCCUAGCUGGUCUGAGAGGAUGACCAGCCACACUGGAACUGAGACACGGUCCAGACUCCUACGGGAGGCAGCAGUGGGGAAUAUUGCACAAUGGGCGCAAGCCUGAUGCAGCCAUGCCGCGUGUAUGAAGAAGGCCUUCGGGUUGUAAAGUACUUUCAGCGGGGAGGAAGGGAGUAAAGUUAAUACCUUUGCUCAUUGACGUUACCCGCAGAAGAAGCACCGGCUAACUCCGUGCCAGCAGCCGCGGUAAUACGGAGGGUGCAAGCGUUAAUCGGAAUUACUGGGCGUAAAGCGCACGCAGGCGGUUUGUUAAGUCAGAUGUGAAAUCCCCGGGCUCAACCUGGGAACUGCAUCUGAUACUGGCAAGCUUGAGUCUCGUAGAGGGGGGUAGAAUUCCAGGUGUAGCGGUGAAAUGCGUAGAGAUCUGGAGGAAUACCGGUGGCGAAGGCGGCCCCCUGGACGAAGACUGACGCUCAGGUGCGAAAGCGUGGGGAGCAAACAGGAUUAGAUACCCUGGUAGUCCACGCCGUAAACGAUGUCGACUUGGAGGUUGUGCCCUUGAGGCGUGGCUUCCGGAGCUAACGCGUUAAGUCGACCGCCUGGGGAGUACGGCCGCAAGGUUAAAACUCAAAUGAAUUGACGGGGGCCCGCACAAGCGGUGGAGCAUGUGGUUUAAUUCGAUGCAACGCGAAGAACCUUACCUGGUCUUGACAUCCACGGAAGUUUUCAGAGAUGAGAAUGUGCCUUCGGGAACCGUGAGACAGGUGCUGCAUGGCUGUCGUCAGCUCGUGUUGUGAAAUGUUGGGUUAAGUCCCGCAACGAGCGCAACCCUUAUCCUUUGUUGCCAGCGGUCCGGCCGGGAACUCAAAGGAGACUGCCAGUGAUAAACUGGAGGAAGGUGGGGAUGACGUCAAGUCAUCAUGGCCCUUACGACCAGGGCUACACACGUGCUACAAUGGCGCAUACAAAGAGAAGCGACCUCGCGAGAGCAAGCGGACCUCAUAAAGUGCGUCGUAGUCCGGAUUGGAGUCUGCAACUCGACUCCAUGAAGUCGGAAUCGCUAGUAAUCGUGGAUCAGAAUGCCACGGUGAAUACGUUCCCGGGCCUUGUACACACCGCCCGUCACACCAUGGGAGUGGGUUGCAAAAGAAGUAGGUAGCUUAACCUUCGGGAGGGCGCUUACCACUUUGUGAUUCAUGACUGGGGUGAAGUCGUAACAAGGUAACCGUAGGGGAACCUGCGGUUGGAUCACC